CAGAAAGCCACAAGGAGUAUUGCCAGGGACGAAGGCUUUAAUUGGGUGCUGCAGCUGAGGAGAUGCGGGCUCAGUCUCAAAUCCACCUCCCUGACUGACUAAAACUAGGGGGUUACACAGCUGGGAAGAAAUGUAACCGUGUGCAGGAAAACAGAAACUAGGGAAGGGCAAGGAAGCAAUCAUGGUGAAUGAGGGCUCUGCCAUGUCACUGUCAGCAUGCAGUGAUCUGCUGCUCCAACCAGCCUGGGGCUCAGAGCUCCCACUGAAAAGGCCACUUGCGGGUCCAUAAUCAGGGAUGUCCCCCUUCAGCUGGCCCAAGACCCUUACCAAGUCAUAGAAGACCUCAUGGUGCUGACAAUAUCAUCAGACAGAUAAUGAUGUCCUGAAGAGCAGCUACCAGCAACCUGCGCAUCUCAGCCAGCAAGAAAUUAUAUGUGGACCGUACUCUGGACUGGACUUUGCAAUUUUGCUAGAGUUCUAGGAAGCUAUUUUAGACAGGUCACAGGUCCCUUCCUGGAAUAUAUAUUGCUAUUCUCCUAGAUGGGCCUUCCUUCCCACUUCUCCACCUUUCUCUUACAGAAUCAAUGCAAGAAAAUCCAUUGAGCUAGAGACCACCUUAAGCAUGAAAAAUGUGGAUGCAGCUUGAACCACAGCAUUAGCAGUCUCGAAUAUUUUAACAGUCUCUAGCUCUGCAAUAUCUAAAAUGUGAACUCUGUAACCUGGCAGCCCUAAUCGUGAGCAUGCAUAUCCACUGGAAACAAACACUGCCUUGUUUUUGGUUUUUGUUUUUGUUUUUUCCAUUGCUAUGCAGGGUUUCACACUCCCACGACACUGUGCUUUUGCUCUUUUGAUGGAGCAAACACUCUUUCCAUUUGCUCCACAACGAAGCGUUUCAAAGAUAAAGAUUUAUUAAAAGCCAGAUUGGGGUCAGUGUGAUAGAAAUUGGGGGACAUACUAAGACAGAAGUUUCAGGGACUCCAAUGUCUCCUCCUGUUUGCUUCCCUCAUCAUUAGAAUUGCAGUAUCUAUCGGCCCCCGAAACGCUGCCUGAUUGUGUUUGCUUUCCCUGAUUGGAUGCAAAAUGAAAAACCUUCUUUCUCCAUGGACCGGCUGCUCUCUCCUCUAAUCGACUGCAUGCAUUGAAUCCCAAUUACAGGCUAGGAGCCUGAUGAAUUGACUUCAAGAAUAUUAAUUUAAUGCUUGAAAUGUCAGCAAAUAGAGUGGAGGUAUUAUUCCAGGCCCAGCUUCUUGAAGUCUCCGUUUGACAGAUUGUUUUUAAGGCAGCCUCUGCAUGGGAACACCAACUCCGUAAAGCACUGUGAAGCCAUCUAACAAAGCAAGUGGAAUGCACCCAAACUUUGAAAGCUCAGUCUCUGCUAAGUGGUUGCAUGAGUUGGAAUAAUCAGGCAAAGGGCGAGACAACCUAGAGUCUAGAAAAUGUUGGUGGGUGCCUUCAUGAUUUCGGGAAGCCUUUUCAGCAUGAGCUCUGCUUUGCUUUUUAAAGAUAUUUUAUUUAUUUUAUUUUUUAGAGAGUAAAAGACACACUGUUUUAUUGCAUAGGGUCUCUGGUUAUGAUGCAGACCCCGGAACUAGGUUGCAAUGCCAUAGGCAUAUCUAGAAAUGUGAGUUCACAUCCAUUGAUACCAUAUGCACUUGCAGCUCCCUGUUGGGCUCAGAAAACAAUACCCCACAACGCAGGUCUCCACAGCAGCCUCAGAAGCCAACGUUUCUCUCUGACCAUCUCCUGCCAACUGCCUCUCAGUCCCAUCCUCCCCCGAGGCACCACAGAAACUAGAAUCCCUCUUUCCCAAGGCGGGUCACAGAAACCAGAACCCUUUUUCCCCAACGUGAGCCAUAAAACCUAAAAAUUGGAAGUUAACUUUCCCUCUAUCCUAUCUGCAUAAAGACUGGCCAUAAAGAAAUUCCCUGACCUACCUCGUUUGACUGUAGGUCCUAAGAACCCCCACUCCAGAGAGGGUCCCGCCGCACACCCAGAAGGAAGGAGCGCUGCUCAGAGAGGCAAGAAGAAUCUAGACAGACAGGCCUGGUUGGGUUUCCACUCAGUCCGUUAGCAUUGGAUCAGGCCCUUUUUGUCCAACCCUAUCUCUACAUGGCUGCCCAUACUUUGUUGAAGCAAAGCAUAAAAAUGGACAGCUUCCCCUGUAUCUUUAUGUCUUCAUUCUAAAGGCUCCUCUGUAU
Molecule: long non-coding RNA, 2198 nt
Filed under: Homo sapiens (human)
Lineage: Eukaryota; Metazoa; Chordata; Mammalia; Primates; Hominidae
Description: HSALNT0279819
Source: RNAcentral